GGGCGCUUAGCUCAGCGGUAGAGCGUCGCCCUUACAUGGCGGUGGUCACAGGUUCGAAUCCCGUAGCGCCCA
Molecule: transfer RNA, 72 nt
Filed under: Planctomycetota bacterium
Lineage: Bacteria; Pseudomonadati; Planctomycetota
Description: Planctomycetes bacterium tRNA-Val
Rfam family: tRNA
About the family: Transfer RNA (tRNA) molecules are approximately 80 nucleotides in length. Their secondary structure includes four short double-helical elements and three loops (D, anti-codon, and T loops).
Source: RNAcentral